GGUUAAGCGACUAAGCGUACACGGUGGAUGCCCUGGCAGUCAGAGGCGAUGAAGGACGUGCUAAUCUGCGAUAAGCGUCGGUAAGGUGAUAUGAACCGUUAUAACCGGCGAUUUCCGAAUGGGGAAACCCAGUGUGUUUCGACACACUAUCAUUAACUGAAUCCAUAGGUUAAUGAGGCGAACCGGGGGAACUGAAACAUCUAAGUACCCCGAGGAAAAGAAAUCAACCGAGAUUCCCCCAGUAGCGGCGAGCGAACGGGGAGCAGCCCAGAGCCUGAAUCAGUGUGUGUGUUAGUGGAAGCGUCUGGAAAGGCGCGCGAUACAGGGUGACAGCCCCGUACACAAAAAUGCACAUGCUGUGAGCUCGAUGAGUAGGGCGGGACACGUGGUAUCCUGUCUGAAUAUGGGGGGACCAUCCUCCAAGGCUAAAUACUCCUGACUGACCGAUAGUGAACCAGUACCGUGAGGGAAAGGCGAAAAGAACCCCGGCGAGGGGAGUGAAAAAGAACCUGAAACCGUGUACGUACAAGCAGUGGGAGCACGCUUAGGCGUGUGACUGCGUACCUUUUGUAUAAUGGGUCAGCGACUUAUAUUCUGUAGCAAGGUUAACCGAAUAGGGGAGCCGAAGGGAAACCGAGUCUUAACUGGGCGUUAAGUUGCAGGGUAUAGACCCGAAACCCGGUGAUCUAGCCAUGGGCAGGUUGAAGGUUGGGUAACACUAACUGGAGGACCGAACCGACUAAUGUUGAAAAAUUAGCGGAUGACUUGUGGCUGGGGGUGAAAGGCCAAUCAAACCGGGAGAUAGCUGGUUCUCCCCGAAAGCUAUUUAGGUAGCGCCUCGUGAAUUCAUCUCCGGGGGUAGAGCACUGUUUCGGCAAGGGGGUCAUCCCGACUUACCAACCCGAUGCAAACUGCGAAUACCGGAGAAUGUUAUCACGGGAGACACACGGCGGGUGCUAACGUCCGUCGUGAAGAGGGAAACAACCCAGACCGCCAGCUAAGGUCCCAAAGUCAUGGUUAAGUGGGAAACGAUGUGGGAAGGCCCAGACAGCCAGGAUGUUGGCUUAGAAGCAGCCAUCAUUUAAAGAAAGCGUAAUAGCUCACUGGUCGAGUCGGCCUGCGCGGAAGAUGUAACGGGGCUAAACCAUGCACCGAAGCUGCGGCAGCGACGCUUAUGCGUUGUUGGGUAGGGGAGCGUUCUGUAAGCCUGUGAAGGUGUACUGUGAGGUAUGCUGGAGGUAUCAGAAGUGCGAAUGCUGACAUAAGUAACGAUAAAGCGGGUGAAAAGCCCGCUCGCCGGAAGACCAAGGGUUCCUGUCCAACGUUAAUCGGGGCAGGGUGAGUCGACCCCUAAGGCGAGGCCGAAAGGCGUAGUCGAUGGGAAACAGGUUAAUAUUCCUGUACUUGGUGUUACUGCGAAGGGGGGACGGAGAAGGCUAUGUUGGCCGGGCGACGGUUGUCCCGGUUUAAGCGUGUAGGCUGGUUUUCCAGGCAAAUCCGGAAAAUCAAGGCUGAGGCGUGAUGACGAGGCACUACGGUGCUGAAGCAACAAAUGCCCUGCUUCCAGGAAAAGCCUCUAAGCAUCAGGUAACAUCAAAUCGUACCCCAAACCGACACAGGUGGUCAGGUAGAGAAUACCAAGGCGCUUGAGAGAACUCGGGUGAAGGAACUAGGCAAAAUGGUGCCGUAACUUCGGGAGAAGGCACGCUGAUAUGUAGGUGAAGUCCCUCGCGGAUGGAGCUGAAAUCAGUCGAAGAUACCAGCUGGCUGCAACUGUUUAUUAAAAACACAGCACUGUGCAAACACGAAAGUGGAAGUAUACGGUGUGACGCCUGCCCGGUGCCGGAAGGUUAAUUGAUGGGGUCAGCGCAAGCGAAGCUCUUGAUCGAAGCCCCGGUAAACGGCGGCCGUAACUAUAACGGUCCUAAGGUAGCGAAAUUCCUUGUCGGGUAAGUUCCGACCUGCACGAAUGGCGUAAUGAUGGCCAGGCUGUCUCCACCCGAGACUCAGUGAAAUUGAACUCGCUGUGAAGAUGCAGUGUACCCGCGGCAAGACGGAAAGACCCCGUGAACCUUUACUAUAGCUUGACACUGAACAUUGAGCCUUGAUGUGUAGGAUAGGUGGGAGGCUUUGAAGUGUGGACGCCAGUCUGCAUGGAGCCGACCUUGAAAUACCACCCUUUAAUGUUUGAUGUUCUAACGUGGACCCGUAAUCCGGGUUGCGGACAGUGUCUGGUGGGUAGUUUGACUGGGGCGGUCUCCUCCUAAAGAGUAACGGAGGAGCACGAAGGUUGGCUAAUCCUGGUCGGACAUCAGGAGGUUAGUGCAAUGGCAUAAGCCAGCUUGACUGCGAGCGUGACGGCGCGAGCAGGUGCGAAAGCAGGUCAUAGUGAUCCGGUGGUUCUGAAUGGAAGGGCCAUCGCUCAACGGAUAAAAGGUACUCCGGGGAUAACAGGCUGAUACCGCCCAAGAGUUCAUAUCGACGGCGGUGUUUGGCACCUCGAUGUCGGCUCAUCACAUCCUGGGGCUGAAGUAGGUCCCAAGGGUAUGGCUGUUCGCCAUUUAAAGUGGUACGCGAGCUGGGUUUAGAACGUCGUGAGACAGUUCGGUCCCUAUCUGCCGUGGGCGCUGGAGAACUGAGGGGGGCUGCUCCUAGUACGAGAGGACCGGAGUGGACGCAUCACUGGUGUUCGGGUUGUCAUGCCAAUGGCACUGCCCGGUAGCUAAAUGCGGAAGAGAUAAGUGCUGAAAGCAUCUAAGCACGAAACUUGCCCCGAGAUGAGUUCUCCCUGACUCCUUGAGAGUCCUGAAGGAACGUUGAAGACGACGACGUUGAUAGGCCGGGUGUGUAAGCGCAGCGAUGCGUUGAGCUAACCGGUACUAAUGAACCGUGAGGCUUAACCUU
Molecule: ribosomal RNA, 2904 nt
Filed under: Escherichia coli
Lineage: Bacteria; Pseudomonadati; Pseudomonadota; Gammaproteobacteria; Enterobacterales; Enterobacteriaceae
Description: 23S ribosomal RNA
Rfam family: Bacterial large subunit ribosomal RNA
Source: RNAcentral